Molecule: ribosomal RNA, 497 nt
Filed under: uncultured bacterium
Lineage: Bacteria
Description: partial 16S ribosomal RNA
Rfam family: Bacterial small subunit ribosomal RNA
Source: RNAcentral
GAUGAACGCUGGCGGCGUGCCUAAUACAUGCAAGUCGAGCGAACAGACGAGGAGCUUGCUCCUCUGACGUUAGCGGCGGACGGGUGAGUAACACGUGGAUAACCUACCUAUAAGACUGGGAUAACUUCGGGAAACCGGAGCUAAUACCGGAUAAUAUAUUGAACCGCAUGGUUCAAUAGUGAAAGACGGUUUUGCUGUCACUUAUAGAUGGAUCCGCGCCGCAUUAGCUAGUUGGUAAGGUAACGGCUUACCAAGGCAACGAUGCGUAGCCGACCUGAGAGGGGGAUCGGCCACACUGGAACUGAGACACGGUCCAGACUCCUACGGGAGGCAGCAGUAGGGAAUCUUCCGCAAAGGGCGAAAGCCUGACGGAGCAACGCCGCGUGAAUGAUGAAGGUCUUCGGAUCGUAAAACUCUGUUAUUAGGGAAGAACAAAUGUGUAAGUAACUAUGCACGUCUUGACGGUACCUAAUCAGAAAGCCACGGCUAACUACGUG